AACGCACAUUGCGCCCUUUGGUAUCCCGAAGGGCAUACCUGUUCGAGCGUCAUUUCAACCCUCAAAUUUAACUAUUUGAUGUUGGGCAGUGCCUGUAGAAGGCAUGCCUAAAAGUCAGUGACGGUUGCAAAUCCAACCUAGGCGUACAAGUAUCGCGAUAAGGGACGAUUGGGGCCUGUCUUAAUUAAAAAUUCUAAAUGUUGACCUCGGAUCAGGUAGGGAUACCCGCUGAACUUAA
Molecule: unclassified non-coding RNA, 238 nt
Filed under: uncultured fungus
Lineage: Eukaryota; Fungi
Description: partial contains 5.8S ribosomal RNA, internal transcribed spacer 2, and large subunit ribosomal RNA
Source: RNAcentral